RNAcentral lists this ribosomal RNA (468 nucleotides) under uncultured bacterium. RNAcentral's name for it is "partial 16S ribosomal RNA". It matches the Rfam family "Bacterial small subunit ribosomal RNA", at positions 28 to 507 of the family's 1533-position model. The record is from RNAcentral.
GACGAACGCUGGCGGCGUGCUUAACACAUGCAAGUCGAACGGAAAGGCCCUGCUUUUGUGGGGUGCUCGAGUGGCGAACGGGUGAGUAACACGUGAGUAACCUGCCCUUGACUUUGGGAUAACUUCAGGAAACUGGGGCUAAUACCGGAUAGGAGCUCCUGCUGCAUGGUGGGGGUUGGAAAGUUUCGGCGGUUGGGGAUGGACUCGCGGCUUAUCAGCUUGUUGGUGGGGUAGUGGCUUACCAAGGCUUUGACGGGUAGCCGGCCUGAGAGGGUGAACGGCCACAUUGGGACUGAGAUACGGACCAGACUGCUACGGGAGGCAGCAGUGGGGAAUAUUGCACAAUGGGCGGAAGCCUGAUGCAGCAACGCCGCGUGCGGGAUGACGGCCUUCGGGUUGUAAACCGCUUUCGCCUGUGACGAAGCGUGAGUGACGGUAAUGGGUAAAGAAGCACCGGCUAACUACGUG